AAAAUAACAAUUAGAAAUCAAAGAGAGACAUUAUAAUAAGAAAUCAUAUUAUAUAUUGUAGCUGCAAGGACUUUGGAUUUCCCAAAUCCUUCUUAUUAUCAAAUCAUCUCUUGCUCAUAAGCAGCAAGAAGAGUGUCAACUCCCACUACGCUCAUCAAUGGCAUUAGGUCCAUUACUUGAAAAAUUAAAUAACAAAAAAAGGGGGCAAUAUUACCAAGAAAAUGGCAAGCCAGAAGAACAACACAUCGCUGCAUUAUCACUAAUUAAGAUCAUAAUGGUUAUGAUAUAAACAAAGCUAUAAAAUUAAUCCCUCCACACCAAAAACCCAAAAUAAAUAAAUUCUAAUACUCUCUUUUUUUUCCCCUUUUCAUGUGUGAACUGUGAACCACAUUCAAGCUAAAACCCACACAAGAAGACGCCAAAAGAAAGAAAGAAGAGCCAUAUUACUAGAAAAUAAAAGAAAGAUUAAUCAAAAUAAUUAAUUCUCCUUUGUGUUCUCCCUAAUGGAAACUAGAGCCUGGAGUGUAAAUAGCAAGAUCA
Molecule: unclassified non-coding RNA, 540 nt
Filed under: Hevea brasiliensis (rubber tree)
Lineage: Eukaryota; Viridiplantae; Streptophyta; Magnoliopsida; Malpighiales; Euphorbiaceae
Source: RNAcentral